RNAcentral lists this small RNA (627 nucleotides) under uncultured Faecousia sp. The record is from RNAcentral. Lineage: Bacteria; Bacillati; Bacillota; Clostridia; Eubacteriales; Oscillospiraceae.
AUGAUAAUAAAGGUGGCGCUGUAUUCUAGUCAGAGCGUUCCGAUCUCGAAGAAGGGCCUAAAAAUCCUUUUAAGGGCAUAUCGAUGAAGUCCCUGGUGCCUGCUUUUUUCGCCCAGAUCAGGGUGGGUGCUGGGGGUUAAGGUUCCCGGGCGAGGUGUAAUGGCAUAUACCAACCGACCCGGCUACCGUGGAGACCUGUUCUUGUGCGACAGCCGUACAGUUCCUGUGGAUACCCGGACUGCGUACGAAACAGGAUAGAACCUGCAUUGCGGUGCACAGAAUCGUGUGCUGUGUGCAGUGUAGCCUGCCUUGCGUGAGUAUGCCGGGAUGGGGGAGUGAGGCGUUUGCAUCCGUGGCCGCGGAUGCGGGCGAUAUUGCCCCUUGAAAUCAUACUUGCAAAAGAGGAUAGAAUCGGAACGCAAUGCCGUGGAAAUCACCUAGGCAGACCUUUUUGGGGCAGAUAUUGGAUUGCAGUGCGGACUAAGUGGCAAUCGGGUACCGGCAAUGGCAACAUACCGGCUAGGCUUCAAACGGAAACGGCCGGACGGCGACGAACGGUAGCCAAAGGGGAAAUCCAACCCGACCUAAGCCGUAAGAUUUACUUUAUCUGCCGCCACCAUUUUUCAA